RNAcentral lists this ribosomal RNA (251 nucleotides) under uncultured Physarum sp. RNAcentral's name for it is "partial 18S ribosomal RNA". It matches the Rfam family "Eukaryotic small subunit ribosomal RNA", at positions 28 to 241 of the family's 1831-position model. Lineage: Eukaryota; Evosea; Eumycetozoa; Physariida; Physaraceae. The record is from RNAcentral.
AUGCUUCUCCUAAAGACUAAGCCAUGCAUGCCUUCGAAUAGAAGAGCAAUCUCUUUGAAUCUGCGAACGGCUCCGCAAACCAGUUGUAAACUAUAGCAAGUCCGUGUGGCUAGCGGGCAACCGUUAGUUGCACUCACAGGGAUAACCCUGGUAAUCCUGAGGCUAAUACAAGAACGUAAAACUCGGUCGACUGGGCAACUGGAAGGCCGAGGGUCGUGUAAGCGCUAUGCAAUACUCGACAUGAAUGGAUA